Molecule: ribosomal RNA, 264 nt
Filed under: uncultured Gardnerella sp.
Lineage: Bacteria; Bacillati; Actinomycetota; Actinomycetes; Bifidobacteriales; Bifidobacteriaceae
Description: partial 16S ribosomal RNA
Rfam family: Bacterial small subunit ribosomal RNA
Source: RNAcentral
CGGGGUAAUGGCCCACCUAGGCUUCGACGGGUAGCCGGCCUGAGAGGGCGGACGGCCACAUUGGGACUGAGAUACGGCCCAGACUCCUACGGGGAGGCAGCAGUGGGGAAUAUUGCGCAAUGGGGAAACCCUGACGCAGCGACGCCGCGUGCGGGAUGAAGGCCUUCGGGUUGUAAACCGCUUUUGAUUGGGGAGCAAGCCUUUUGGUGAGUGUACCUUUCGAAUAAGCGCCGGCUAACUACGUGCCAGCAGCCGCGGGUAAAU